GCGCGUAAAUUGCCCGAAUCCUGACACAGGGAGGUAGUGACAAGAAAUAACAAUACAGGGCUCUCUGAGUCUUGUAAUUGGAAUGAGUACAAUUUACAUCUCUUCACGAGGAUCAAUUGGAGGGCAAGUCUGGUGCCAGCAGCCGCGGUAAUUCCAGCUCCAAUAGCGUAUAUUAAAGUUGUUGCAGUUAAAACGCUCGUAGUCGGAUUUCGGGGCGGGGCCGCCGGUCUGCCGAUAGGUAUGCACUGGCGGGCGCGUCCUUUUUCCCGGAGACGGCUGCUACUCUUAACUGAGCGGUGGUCGGAGACGGGAUGUUUACUUUGAAAAAAUCAGAGUGUUUCAAGCAGGCAGUCGCUCUUGCAUGGAUUAGCAUGGGAUAAUGAAAUAGGACUCUGGUGCUAUUUUGUUGGUUUCGAGCACCGGAGUAAUGAUUAACAGGGACAGUCAGGGGCACUCGUAUUCC
RNAcentral lists this ribosomal RNA (463 nucleotides) under Haptophyta environmental samples. RNAcentral describes it as "SSU rRNA". It matches the Rfam family "Eukaryotic small subunit ribosomal RNA", at positions 432 to 900 of the family's 1831-position model. The record is from RNAcentral. Lineage: Eukaryota; Haptophyta.